This 546-nucleotide small RNA is filed under the name Pan troglodytes (chimpanzee). Its description in RNAcentral is "retained intron". The record is from RNAcentral. Lineage: Eukaryota; Metazoa; Chordata; Mammalia; Primates; Hominidae.
GUUCCCCAUCUGAGGCGUUUGUUGCAGCUACCUGCACUUCUAGAUGCUCCCCAGGUUCAUCCUGUGUCCUCUCCCCCACCUACCAGUCAUCUUCUUGUGAGCCCUGGGCUUAGGAGUCACCAUGGCAACUGAAGAGUUCAUCAUCCGCAUCCCCCCAUACCACUAUAUCCAUGUGCUGGACCAGAACAGCAACGUGUCCCGUGUGGAGGUCGGGCCAAAGACCUACAUCCGGCAGGACAAUGAGAGGUGGGUGUGGGGGCUGGGCUGUGGGAGAUCCUUGGGGAUGUGGGGGCCUGUUUGGCUGGCAUGAUGGUCCUUAUCCUCCUCCCUGUUCCCAAGCAGGAGUGGCCCUCGCUUGGGCGAUAGAGAGGUUUCUCUCUCAUUUGGUGUCCUCUUUGGUAGUGGAGACCUGGUCCCAGGUCCUCACACCUCUUCUCAUCUUCCUGCAGGGUACUGUUUGCCCCCAUGCGCAUGGUGACCGUCCCCCCACGUCACUACUGCACAGUGGCCAACCCUGUGUCUCGGGAUGCCCAGGGCUUGGUGCUG